UACGUAGGGAGCGAGCGUUGUCCGGAAUUACUGGGUGUAAAGGGCGUGUAGGCGGGUAUUUAAGUCAGUUGUGAAACCCUGGGGCUCAACUCCAGGCCUGCAAUUGAAACUGAGUAUCUUGAGUGGUGGAGAGGAAAGCGGAAUUCCUAGUGUAGCGGUGAAAUGCGUAGAUAUUAGGAGGAACACCAGUGGCGAAGGCGGCUUUCUGGACACUAACUGACGCUGAGGCGCGAAAGCGUGGGGAGCAAAC
RNAcentral lists this ribosomal RNA (250 nucleotides) under uncultured prokaryote. Its description in RNAcentral is "partial 16S ribosomal RNA". It matches the Rfam family "Bacterial small subunit ribosomal RNA", at positions 524 to 773 of the family's 1533-position model. The record is from RNAcentral.